Molecule: ribosomal RNA, 433 nt
Filed under: uncultured bacterium
Lineage: Bacteria
Description: partial 16S ribosomal RNA
Rfam family: Bacterial small subunit ribosomal RNA
Source: RNAcentral
AACGAACGCUGGCGGCAUGCCUAACACAUGCAAGUCGAACGAGACCUUCGGGUCUAGUGGCGCACGGGUGCGUAACGCGUGGGAACCUGCCCUUAGGUUCGGAAUAACUCCCCGAAAGGGGUGCUAAUACCGGAUAAUGUCUUCGGACCAAAGAUUUAUCGCCUUUGGAUGGGCCCGCGUUGGAUUAGCUAGUUGGUAGGGUAAAAGCCUACCAAGGCGACGAUCCAUAGCUGGUCGGAGAGGAUGAUCAGCCACACUGGGACUGAGACACGGCCCAGAAUCCUACGGGAGGGAGCAGUGGGGAAUAUUGGACAAUGGGCGAAGGCCUGAUCCAGCAAUGCCGCGUGAGUGAUGAAGGCCUUAGGGUUGUAAAGCUCUUUUACCCGGGAUGAUAAUGACAGUACCGGGAGAAUAAGCUCCGGCUAACUCCGUG